AAGAAGCUACGAAGGUCAAAAUAGAACACGCUUAAACUAAUGGGGACCAAUUUGGAAAAUAGCCCAACAUUCGGACACCCGUCCUUUCCCCGUGGGCUCAGCGUACCUAGGACUAAAUUGAAUUGUACACAAGAUAUGUGGCCGAAAUUUAAAAAAAUAAACAAAAAGGUAAGUAACAGGCUAAAUUGCAGCGCGCUAUGAAGGUAGAGGGACCAAAUGGAGAAAUAUCCCAAAAGAGCAAAACGCGUGGAUCCCCUCUGGAGAGGGUCGGGUCGCGCGCGGGUGUACCAGAAACGACGCCGUUUCGACGUUAAUGUCCCAUGUGCAAAACGGCACCGUUUUGCCUUAUUGUUUUAAGUUAAAAAUUUCAUUUUUUUCAUCUGCUUCCUUUUCUUUUUAAAAAAAAAAAAUAGAACACCCCCUUUCCCCAUUUCUCUUUUCGGCUAGGGUUUUGAAACCCAUCAUCGCCGCUGUCGUCACAGCGCUACCAUGGGCGGUGGUUGGGGCGGUGCGAGAGGGGCUUUCUAGCCCUUAUUUAGGACACCCGCGAAGGCUAUGCCUUCUCAACCCAAAAAGCACGAAAGAAAAGAGUCUCUCCCUUCCCCAUUCGAUCCGAUCCCGACGACGGAGAGGAGACCUCUGGCGACGUAGCCGCGGACGAUUCUGGUGAGAUCCUCUUCUCUUUUCUUUUGUUUAUUUAUGACCACUUUUAAAAUAGAUUUGUAAAUAAAAAAUAAUAAUAAUAAGAAACUAAAAAAAUGAAACGAAAAAUGAAGAAAAGAAAAUCGAAAUCAACCUUUCUGCUUUUGAUUGCUUCAAAUCGUGUGUUUAAAACAUUUUUGGUUUUUUGGGGCUUUAUAGCUGAGAAUAUUACAAAUACAUUAUCUAUUUUGCUACUGCUUUUUGUUGCUUUUUUGUCUGCUUUGUUUCUACUUUCUUUCUCUUUUUUGCGUGUUUACAGGUCAAGGAGGAGGUCAACGAGGGCAAAAACAUGCCACUUUGGUGUAAGGCCGAUAAAGGAAAUGACCCUCGGGCGAUGUGUGCACUGAGGGCGCACAUGGAGGGCGGUACGGCGCACUCGAGGCACGCGAAAGGAAGACUAUUCUUUGAGCUAGGAUUUUUUAGUUUUAGGCCUACAAAAUUUGAGCUUUAUAUUUGGGUUGUAAAUUUUGGUUUGGUAUGUUUUACAUUCGGGCUCUUUUUAUAAUUGGACUCAAACUCUUAACUUGUUUUGAUUUUAUUUUUAUUUUUGGGUUAUUGGUUUAGCCCCGGGCAAAAUAGGCCCAUUACACCAACAAAAAGGAUGAAAGGAAUCAUAUGCAACUCCUUUUCAAACGAAACAAAAAAAAACAGAACAUUCAAUGUUUAUCCGGGGCAAUGGUCAUAAAAGAACCAAAGUCAGAAUUGGUAAAAUGGGA
RNAcentral lists this long non-coding RNA (1418 nucleotides) under Gossypium barbadense (sea-island cotton). RNAcentral describes it as "long non-coding RNA (GBAR_LNC012911)". Lineage: Eukaryota; Viridiplantae; Streptophyta; Magnoliopsida; Malvales; Malvaceae. The record is from RNAcentral.